GUAGGUGAACCUGCGGAAGGAUCAUUAACAGUGCUUUUUGUAUGCAAAUACAACUCUCACUAACCAACCAUGUGUGAACCGUUUUGACUGACUAAAUGUGCGGGUACCCAGUAAAUCGGGUAUGGCUGCACAUUUUUAUAUUUACAACCACUGUUUUUUGUAGUACUGAAUAGUAAAGCUUAGUUGAAAAACUUGCAAAACUUUUAGCAAUGGAUCUCUAGGCUCUU
RNAcentral lists this unclassified non-coding RNA (227 nucleotides) under rhizosphere metagenome. Its description in RNAcentral is "partial ribosomal RNA internal transcribed spacer region". The record is from RNAcentral.